This 468-nucleotide ribosomal RNA is filed under the name uncultured bacterium. Its description in RNAcentral is "partial 16S ribosomal RNA". It matches the Rfam family "Bacterial small subunit ribosomal RNA", at positions 28 to 507 of the family's 1533-position model. The record is from RNAcentral.
GACGAACGCUGGCGGCGUGCUUAACACAUGCAAGUCGAACGGAAAGGCCCUGCUUUUGUUGGUUGCUCGAGUGGCGAACGGGUGAGUAACACGUGAGUAACCUGCCCUUGACUUUGGGAUAACUUCAGGAAACUGGGGCUAAUACCGGAUAGGAGCUCCUGCAGCACGGUGGGGGUUGGAAAGUUUCGGCGGUUGGGGAUGGACUCGCGGCUUAUCAGCUUGUUGGUGGGGUAGUGGCGUACCAAGGCUUUGACGGAUAGCCGGCCUGGGAGGGUGACCGGCCACAUGAGGACUGAGAUACGGCGCAGACUGCUACGGGAGGCAGCAGUGGGGAAUAUUGCACAGUGGGCGGACGCCUGAUGCAGCGACGCCGCGUGCGGGAUGACGGCCUUCUGGUUAUAAACCGCUUUCGCCGGUGACGAAGCGUGAGUGACGGUAAUGGGUAAAGAAGCACCGGCUAACUACGUG